UACGUAGGUGGCAAGCGUUGUCCGGAUUUACUGGGCGUAAAGGGCGUGCAGGCGGUCUGUUAAGUUCAGGGUGAAAGCUCCCGGCUCAACUGGGAGAGGUCCUUGGAUACUGGCAGACUUGAGGGAGGUAGAGGAGAGUGGAAUUCCCGGUGUAGUGGUGAUAUGCGUAGAUAUCGGGAGGAACACCAGUGGCGAAGGCGGCUCUCUGGGCCUUACCUGACGCUGAGGAGCGAAAGCGUGGGGAGCGAACAGG
Molecule: ribosomal RNA, 253 nt
Filed under: uncultured bacterium
Lineage: Bacteria
Description: partial 16S ribosomal RNA
Rfam family: Bacterial small subunit ribosomal RNA
Source: RNAcentral